CCUGUGAGGGUUGCUGGAGGUAUCAGAAGUGCGAAUGCUGACAUAAGUAACGAUAAAGCGGGUGAAAAGCCCGCUCGCCGGAAGACCAAGGGUUCCUGUCCAACGUUAAUCGGGGCAGGGUGAGUCGACCCCUAAGGCGAGGCCGAAAGGCGUAGUCGAUGGGAAACAGGUUAAUAUUCCUGUACUUGGUGUUACUGCGAAGGGGGGACGGAGAAGGCUAUGUUAGCCGGGCGACGGUUGUCCCG
This 245-nucleotide ribosomal RNA is filed under the name Klebsiella pneumoniae. Its description in RNAcentral is "partial 23S ribosomal RNA". It matches the Rfam family "Bacterial large subunit ribosomal RNA", at positions 1260 to 1509 of the family's 2925-position model. Lineage: Bacteria; Pseudomonadati; Pseudomonadota; Gammaproteobacteria; Enterobacterales; Enterobacteriaceae. The record is from RNAcentral.